CCCGGGCCUUGUACACACCGCCCGUCACACCAUGGGAGUUGGUUUGACCGUUAAGCUGGUGCGCCAACCCGUAAGGGGGCAGCCAACACGGUCGGGUCAGCGACUGGGGUG
This 111-nucleotide ribosomal RNA is filed under the name uncultured bacterium. RNAcentral describes it as "partial 16S ribosomal RNA". It matches the Rfam family "Bacterial small subunit ribosomal RNA", at positions 1373 to 1482 of the family's 1533-position model. The record is from RNAcentral.